AGGAUGAACGCUGGGCGGCGUGCUUAACACAUGCAAGUCGAACGGUAGUUUUUAAAUGGAAGCCCCUCGGGUGGAAGUUUAGAAACUUAGUGGCGGACGGUGAGUAACGCGUGGGUAACCUGCCUCAUACAGGGGGAUAACAGUCGGAAACGAUUGCUAAAACCGCAUAACAUAGCGAAACCGCAUGAUUUUUGCUAUCAAAUAUUUAUAGGUAUGAGAUGGGCCCGCGUCUGAUUAGCUAGUUGGUGGGGUAAUGGCCUACCAAGGCGACGAUCAGUAGCCGGCUUGAGAGAGUGACCGGCCACAUUGGGACUGAGACACGGCCCAAACUCCUACGGGAGGCAGCAGUGGGGAAUAUUGGACAAUGGGGGAAACCCUGAUCCAGCCGACGCCGCGUGAGUGAAGAAGUAUUUCGGUAUGUAAAGCUCUAUCAGCAGGGAAGAUAACUGACAGUACCUGACUAAGAAGCCCCGGCUAACUACGUGCCAGCCGCCGC
RNAcentral lists this ribosomal RNA (496 nucleotides) under uncultured bacterium. RNAcentral describes it as "bacterial SSU rRNA". It matches the Rfam family "Bacterial small subunit ribosomal RNA", at positions 26 to 518 of the family's 1533-position model. The record is from RNAcentral.